Molecule: ribosomal RNA, 442 nt
Filed under: uncultured bacterium
Lineage: Bacteria
Description: partial 16S ribosomal RNA
Rfam family: Bacterial small subunit ribosomal RNA
Source: RNAcentral
CCUACGGGAGGCAGCAGUGGGGAAUAUUGGGCAAUGGGCGCAAGCCUGACCCAGCCACGCCGCGUGAAGGAAGAAGCCUUUCGGGUUGUAAACUUCUUUUAAGAGGGAAGAGCAGAAGACGGUACCUCUUGGAUGAGCCACCGCUAACUAGGUGCCAGCGACCGCGGUAAUACGUAGGUGGCAAGCGUUGUCCGGAUUUACGGGGUGUAAAGGGCGUUCAGCUGGGAAGACAAGUCGGGUGUGAAGGCCCGCGGCUCAACGGCGGAACUGCCUUUGAUACUGUCUUUCUGGAGUACCGGUGAGGUGAUAGGAAUGCCUUGUGUAGCGGUGAAAUGCGUAGAUAUAAGGAAGAACACCAGUGGCGAAGGCGGAUGACUGGACGGCAAUUGACGGUGAGGCGCGAAAGCGUGGGGAGCAAACAGGAUUAGAUACCCGUGUAGUC